ACAGGACCAGACUAGUUAUCCUAAACCUGGACUGUUAAACUAAUGCCCAGGACUGUCAGGAUAAUCCAUCAGGCCUGUCAGGAUAAUCCACCAGGCCUCUCAGGAUAAUCCACCGAGACUGUCAGGAAAAUCCACCGAGACUGUCAGGAUAAUCCACCGAGACUGUCAGGAUAAUCCACCAGGCCUGUCUGGAUAAUCCACGAGACUGUCAAGAUAAUCUACCAGGCCUCUCAGGAUAAUCCACCGAGACUGUCAGGAUAAUCCACCAGGCCUGUCUGGAUAAUCCACGAGACUGUCAAGAUAAUCUACCAGGCCUCUCAGGAUUAUCCACAGAGACUGUCAGGAUAAUCCACCAGGCCUCACAGGAUAAUCCACCAGGCCUCUCAGGAUAAUCCACAGAGACUGUCAGGAUAAUCCACCAGGCCUCACAGGAUAAUCCACCAGGCCUCUCAGGAUAAUCCACAGAGACUGUCAGGAUAAUCCACCAGGCCUGUCUGGAUAAUCCACGAGACUGUCAGGAUAAUCUACCAGGACUGUCAGGAUAAUCCACCGAGACUGUCAGGAUAAUCCACCAGGCCUCUCAGGAUAAUCCACGAGACUGUCAGGAUAAUCCACCAGGCCACUCAGGAUAAUCCACAGAGACUGUCAGGAUAAUCCACCAGGCCUGUCUGGAUAAUCCACGGGACUGUCAGGAUAAUCUACCAGGACUGUCAGGAUAAUCCACCAGGACAGUGUGUGGGGUGUGUAUAAGGUUUAGUGUGUUCAGUCAGACCCACACAGUGGUAGCAGUAGGUUCUUAUAUUGAACCGAGUUAAUUUGACCAUAGGAAAAUGAGAUACUGUGUGAAUAUGUCAGGGCAGGUUUGACUGAAUUUAGCUAUACAUUGUUUUAUUAUGAGUUGUGUAAUUAUCAGGGAUAUAAUUCUAAAAAGACAAUCUCAGAGACACCUAAUGAGGUCAAUAAAUAAUCAGGUUUUCUGACCGAACUCAACCACGAUGUUAUAGGCACUAGUUUUAUCUCGACAGUCUCUCCAUUCAGUCUGAUCUGGUUGAAGACUGGUGUUUGUAGACGUUAGAACACCACCUGGUGGGCGUAGUAGCAAACUGCACUAUUUUAAAAGGAUAAUUCAUGGUGAUUAGUUUCUGUGGCUCAUUGGUGUUUUUGUAUCAAUGUUAUGAUCGAUUACAAAAGUCAUGGCGUAAGUGGUUUUCAUUUGUGAUGAAUUUAGUAACUGAAGCUGUUUGGUUGUUAAGUGGAGUAGCGGGGAAUUAAAUCUUUAGACAUUUGGGUCCAACUAUGAAUACUUCCAUAUCAUAUCCAUUGACCAAUCAGUGAGGAUGUAUAACCAAUAACAUCCAUUUAGAUAAUGUACAUGUGUGUGCAUGACUCAUUUACUGGAUUCUAAAUAUUCACCAUUAUUAUUGGUUUACUCCUCAUUUAGAAAUAGUCAAUAACUGACAUGAUGCAACCGGUUUUGUAUGUUGACCAACAACAAGCAAUAUUGCUCUUGAAUCAGGGUUUAUAACUGCCCUAAGGAGCUCUGUAGGCACGUUAUUAGCGGUUGUAGCGUUGUGUAUCAGUGAGGUGGGUCUUUGUGGAGAAUCACUGUACUGUAUUUUGAUAAAGUUUGUACUCUACUGCUGGGUGGCUUCCACCCCCUUGUGGCGAGAGCGGAUCCUGUG
Molecule: long non-coding RNA, 1682 nt
Organism: Esox lucius (northern pike)
Lineage: Eukaryota; Metazoa; Chordata; Actinopteri; Esociformes; Esocidae
Source: Ensembl